Long non-coding RNA from Sander lucioperca (pikeperch), 308 nucleotides. RefSeq lists it as uncharacterized. The record is from RefSeq and is a predicted model, not a curated record. The transcript has 2 exons. Lineage: Eukaryota; Metazoa; Chordata; Actinopteri; Perciformes; Percidae.
UUCCAAUCAGCGCACCUGCUACUCAUCCUGCUCCAUCAUCUGCCUUCAGUUGCUUACCACUGAAAAUAACCCACCUUCGGAGUCCUCUGCUGCCAAUAGCCACGCCACGCACUGGAACAUCAAGUCUGCAGCCACACUGAGGAACACAGCCCAGCACCCCCUCUGCUAGCCCUGCAUUCUUUGGACCCAGCACCCCCACUGCCAGUCCAGCCAUCUUUGGACCCAGCACCCCCACUGCCAGUCCAGCCAUCUUCGGACCCAGCACCCCCACUGCCAGCCCACACUCACAGCUUCAAUAAAAUAAUAAU